Molecule: ribosomal RNA, 468 nt
Filed under: uncultured bacterium
Lineage: Bacteria
Description: partial 16S ribosomal RNA
Rfam family: Bacterial small subunit ribosomal RNA
Source: RNAcentral
GACGAACGCUGGCGGCUUGCUUAACACAUGCAAGUCGAACGGCAAGGUCCUGCUUUUUUGCGCUGCUCGAGUGGCGAACGGUUGAGUUACCCUUGAGUAACCUGCCCUUGCCUUUGGGAUAACUUCAGGCCACUGUGGCUAAUACCGCAUAGGAGCUCCUGCUUCAUGGUGGGGGUUGGAACGUUUCGGCGGUUGGGGAUGGACUCGCGGCGUAUCAGCUUGUUGGUGGGGUAGUGGCUUACCAAGGCUUUGACGGGUAGCCGGCCUGAGAGGGUGACCGGCCACAUUGGGAAUGAGAUACGGCCCAGACUCCAACGGGAGGAAGCAGUGAAGAAUAUUGAACAAUGGGCGGAAGCCUGAUGCAGCAACGCCGCGUGCGGGAUGACGGACUUAGGGUUGUAAACCGAAUUAGCCUGUGACGAAGCGUGAGUGACGGUAAUGGGUAAAGAAGCACCGGCUAAAUACGUG